This 604-nucleotide ribosomal RNA is filed under the name Nocardia sp. Its description in RNAcentral is "bacterial SSU rRNA". It matches the Rfam family "Bacterial small subunit ribosomal RNA", at positions 96 to 714 of the family's 1533-position model. Lineage: Bacteria; Bacillati; Actinomycetota; Actinomycetes; Mycobacteriales; Nocardiaceae. The record is from RNAcentral.
CGGCGAACGGGUGAGUAACACGUGGGUGAUCUGCCUUGCACUCUGGGAUAAGCCUGGGAAACUGGGUCUAAUACCGGAUAUGACCUGCAGUUGCAUGACUGUGGGUGGAAAGAUUUAUCGGUGCAAGAUGAGCCCGCGGCCUAUCAGCUUGUUGGUGGGGUAAUGGCCUACCAAGGCGACGACGGGUAGCCGGCCUGAGAGGGCGACCGGCCACACUGGGACUGAGACACGGCCCAGACUCCUACGGGAGGCAGCAGUGGGGAAUAUUGCACAAUGGGCGGAAGCCUGAUGCAGCGACGCCGCGUGAGGGAUGACGGCCUUCGGGUUGUAAACCUCUUUCGACUCCGACGAAGCGAAAGUGACGGUAGGAGUAUAAGAAGCACCGGCCAACUACGUGCCAGCAGCCGCGGUAAUACGUAGGGUGCGAGCGUUGUCCGGAAUUACUGGGCGUAAAGAGCUUGUAGGCGGCUUGUCGCGUCGAUCGUGAAAACUCGGGGCUCAACCCCGAGCUUGCGGUCGAUACGGGCAGGCUUGAGUACUUCAGGGGAGACUGGAAUUCCUGGUGUAGCGGUGAAAUGCGCAGAUAUCAGGAGGAACACCGGUG